CCUACGGGCGGCUGCAGUGGGGAAUUUUGGACAAUGGGCGCAAGCCUGAUCCAGCCAUUCCGCGUGAGUGAAGAAGGCCUUCGGGUUGUAAAGCUCUUUCGCACGGGAAGAAAACUUAUCCUCUAACAUAGGAUGAGGUUGACGGUACCUUGAUAAGAAGCACCGGCUAACUACGUGCCAGCAGCCGCGGUAAUACGUAGGGUGCGAGCGGUAAUCGGAAUUACUGGGCGUAAGGCGGAAGUCAGCUGUGAAAUCCCCGAGCUUAACUUGGGAACUGCGUUUGAAACUACAAGACUAGAAUAGGUCAGAGGGGGGUAGAAUUCCACGUGUAGCAGUGAAAUGCGUAGAGAUGUGGAGGAAUAUCAAUGGCGAAGGCAGCCCCCUGGGAACAUAUUGACGCUCAUGCACGAAAGCGUGGGGAGCAAACAGGAUUAGAUACCCGAGUAGUC
RNAcentral lists this ribosomal RNA (449 nucleotides) under uncultured bacterium. RNAcentral's name for it is "partial 16S ribosomal RNA". It matches the Rfam family "Bacterial small subunit ribosomal RNA", at positions 338 to 795 of the family's 1533-position model. The record is from RNAcentral.